RNAcentral lists this ribosomal RNA (430 nucleotides) under bacterium. RNAcentral describes it as "partial 16S ribosomal RNA". It matches the Rfam family "Bacterial small subunit ribosomal RNA", at positions 355 to 776 of the family's 1533-position model. The record is from RNAcentral.
UGGGGAAUAUUGGACAAUGGGCGGAAGCCUGAUCCAGCCAUGCCGCGUGUGUGAAGAAGGCCUUUUGGUUGUAAAGCACUUUAGGCGAGGAGGAGGCUACUUGGAUUAAUACUCUAGGAUAGUGGACGUUACUCGCAGAAUAAGCACCGGCUAACUCUGUGCCAGCAGCCGAGGUAAUACAGAGGGUGCGAGCGUUAAUCGGAUUUACUGGGCGUAAAGCGUGCGUAGGCGGCUUCUUAAGUCGGAUGUGAAAUCCCUGAGCUUAACUUAGGAAUUGCAUUCGAUACUGGGAAGCUAGAGUAUGGGAGAGGAUGGUAGAAUUCCAGGUGUAGCGGUGAAAUGCGUAGAGAUCUGGAGGAAUACCGAUGGCGAAGGCAGCCAUCUGGCCUAAUACUGACGCUGAGGUACGAAAGCAUGGGGAGCAAACAGG